UCUAAACGCUGCUCCAACGUCUUAUUUAGUUCUUUCUUUUUCGUUCCCCAAGAACCACGAUGGUCGAGAUUGUCUCCGCGUUGCCGAGGUUCCGAGGCAGUGAAAUGAUCUUCAUCACGAGUUCCUUCUUGGAAAACCAGGAGAAAGAAUGGUGUUAGGGUUUAAUCGACAUGAAGCUGAGGAGCUUUCCCCUCGACUUGGCCUGGGGUGCUUUCUUGAAAUGAUUGGAUUCUCUGUGUGGGAGAAUGAAUGGGUUUAGGAUUUGAUCAAGAAUAGGAGGGAGACACGAACCAGAGGAGUCCUCACAAUCUUCAUUUGGUUCACAUCAGGUGGUUGUUCAAAACACGCCCUUUUCCCCUGGACUCGGCCUGGGAUGCCUUCUUCAAGGGUGAGGAAGAGAGUAGUUUUUCAAUUUAUGUGCACUCAAGGCCUGGAUUUCUUUUCAGUAAGGACAUGACAAGUGUGCUGUUUCAGUCAGAAAGCAUACUAAAGUUAUGGUUGGUGAUGACAUAGUCUUCCCCAAAUUCAGAAGCACUGCAGACAAAAGGGAAUUGAAGAGAAAUUAACUUGGAGAUUUUUGACCCAUUCAUUGUGGGAUAUUUGACCCAUUCGUUGUGGAUCACAUCUAGUGGCGCACGAGCUUUCAGAUGCUACUCUUAUUCCUGCGGAACUAUCAAGGUAUGGACAACUUAUGACUCAUCAAAUAAUUAUAGAGGUUUAAUCAAGGUUUUUAAAAACCCAAGGCGGGUUUCGAGGCGCUUCUCAACCAUGAGGCGAAACGUAAGCCUCGAGGCGUUUUGAGGCGUAAGCCUCAAUUAAAGAAUAUUAUUUAUCUUAAUAAAUAUUUUGUUUUUCGG
This is a long non-coding RNA of Dioscorea cayenensis subsp. rotundata (Guinea yam), 857 nucleotides long. RefSeq lists it as uncharacterized. Lineage: Eukaryota; Viridiplantae; Streptophyta; Magnoliopsida; Dioscoreales; Dioscoreaceae. The transcript is spliced from 6 exons. The record is from RefSeq and is a predicted model, not a curated record.